GGGUGAACGCUGGCGGCGUGCCUAACACAUGCAAGUCGAUCGGAGCAGCAAUGCUUAGAGGCGAACGGGUGAGGAAAACGUAGUAACCAACCCUUUAGACUGGGAUAGCCACUGGAAACGGUGGGUAAUACCGGAUAAGCUCGAGAGAGGAAAGGCAGAGAAGCGCUAAAGGACGGAACUGCGCCCCAUCAGAUAGUUGGUAGGGUAAUGGCCUACCAAGGCACAGACGGGUAGGGGGCGUGAGAGCGUGACCCCCCACACUGGUACUGACACACGGACCAGGUGCCUACGGGUAGCAGCAGCUAGGAAUAUUGGGCAAUGGGCGAAAGCCUGACCCAGCAACACCGCGUGAAGGACGAAAGCCUUCGGGUUGUAAACUUCUUUUCGAGGGAAUGAGAAAGGACAGUACCCUCGGAAUAAGGCCCGGCUAACUACGUGCCAGCAGCCGCGGUAAUACGUAGGGGCCAAGCGUUAUCCGGAUUUACUGGGCGUAAAGCGCAUGUAGGCGGUUGACUAAGUCGGAUGUGAAAGCUCCUGGCUUAACUGGGAGAGGCCAUUCGAAACUAGUCGGCUGGAGGGUGGUAGAGGAGAGCGGAAUUCCAGGUGUAGCGGUGAAAUGCGUAGAUAUCUGGAGGAACACCAGUGGCGAAAGCGGCUCUCUGGACCAUUCCUGACGCUGAGAUGCGAAAGCCAGGGGAGAGAACGGGAUUAGAAACCCCGGUAUUCCUGGCCGUAAACGAUGUCAACUAGGCGUAGGAGGUUAUAAACCCCUUCUGUGCUGUAGCAAACGCGUUAAGUUGACCGCCUGGGGACUACGGCCGCAAGGCUAAAACUCAAAGGAAUUGACGGGUCCCCGCACAAGCAGCGGAGCGUGUGGUUUAAUUCGAGGCUACACGAAGAACCUUACCAGGGUUUGACAUGCUAGUGGUAGUGAAGCGAAAGCGGAACGACCCUUCGGGGAGCUAGCACAGGUGCUGCAUGGCUGUCGUCAGCUCGUGUCGUGAGAUGUCAGGUUAAGUCCUGUAACGAGCGCAACCCUCGUCGUUAGUUACAAGUGUCUAACGAGACUGCCCGUGAUAAGCGGGAGGAAGGUGAGGAUGACGUCAAGUCAGCAUGGCCUUUAUGUCCUGGGCUACACACACGCUACAAUGGCCAGUACAAUGGGUAUCCAAGUCGCGAGACGGAGCCAAUCCCGCAAAGCUGGUCUCAGUUCGGAUUGCAGGCUGCAACCCGCCUGCAUGAAGUCGGAGUUGCUAGUAACCGCGCGUCAGCCAUAGUGCGGUGAAUACGUUCCCGGGGAU
RNAcentral lists this ribosomal RNA (1301 nucleotides) under uncultured bacterium. RNAcentral's name for it is "bacterial SSU rRNA". It matches the Rfam family "Bacterial small subunit ribosomal RNA", at positions 27 to 1381 of the family's 1533-position model. The record is from RNAcentral.